GUGAGCGGCAAGAGCUCAGAUUUGAAAUCGUGUUUCGGCACGAGUUGUAGAGUGUAGGCGGGAGUCUCUGUGGAGCGCGGUGUCCAAGUCCCUUGGAACAGGGUGCCUGAGAGGGUGAGAGCCCCGUAGGGUGCUGCGCGAAGCUUUUGAGGCCCUGCUGACGAGUCGAGUUGUUUGGGAAUGCAGCUCCAAGCGGGUGGUAAAUUCCAUCUAAGGCUAAAUAUUGGCGAGAGACCGAUAGCGAACAAGUACUGUGAAGGAAAGAUGAAAAGCACUUUGAAAAGAGAGUGAAACAGCACGUGAAAUUGUUGAAAGGGAAGGGUAUUGGGCUCGACAUGGGGGGUGCGCACCGCUGUCUCUUGUAGGCGGCGCUCUGGGCGCCCUCUGGGCCAGCAUCGGUUCCUGCUGCGGGAGAAGGGGCUCCGGAAAGUGGCUCUUCGGAGUGUUAUAGCCGGGGCCAGAUGCCGCGUGUGGGGACCGAGGACUGCGGCUUCUGUCUCGGAUGCUGGCAUAACGGCGCAAUACCGCCCGUC
Molecule: ribosomal RNA, 533 nt
Filed under: Fermentozyma sake
Lineage: Eukaryota; Fungi; Ascomycota; Pichiomycetes; Serinales; Debaryomycetaceae
Description: [Candida] sake partial large subunit ribosomal RNA
Rfam family: Eukaryotic large subunit ribosomal RNA
Source: RNAcentral